UGGGGAAUAUUGGACAAUGGGCGCAAGCCUGAUCCAGCAAUGCCGCGUGUGUGAAGAAGGCCUGCGGGUUGUAAAGCACUUUGAGUAGGAAAGAAGGGGUGGGAGUGAAUAGCUUUCAUCAUUGACGUUACCUACAGAACAAGCACCGGCUAACUCCGUGCCAGCAGCCGCGGUAAUACGGAGGGUGCGAGCGUUAAUCGGAAUUACUGGGCGUAAAGGGCGCGUAGGCGGUUAGAUAAGUCUGAUGUGAAAGCCCUGGGCUUAACCUGGGAAUGGCAUUGGAUACUGUUUAGCUAGAGUGUGGGAGAGGGGUGUGGAAUUUCCGGUGUAGCAGUGAAAUGCGUAGAGAUCGGAAGGAACACCAGUGGCGAAGGCGGCACCCUGGACCAACACUGACGCU
This 400-nucleotide ribosomal RNA is filed under the name uncultured bacterium. RNAcentral's name for it is "bacterial SSU rRNA". It matches the Rfam family "Bacterial small subunit ribosomal RNA", at positions 355 to 747 of the family's 1533-position model. The record is from RNAcentral.